Bombus huntii is the source of this 1517-nucleotide long non-coding RNA. RefSeq lists it as uncharacterized. The record is from RefSeq and is a predicted model, not a curated record. The transcript has 3 exons. NCBI's taxonomy places the organism in Eukaryota, Metazoa, Arthropoda, Insecta, Hymenoptera, Apidae.
UUGCGAAAUUACGCAUAAAUCGUGUACCUUUAUCCUUUAGCAGACAAAAUAUGGAAUAUCGUGUUACGACAUUAGUGAAAUUUAUUUUUAAUGCCUGAUACAGGAUAAAUUGGACUUUUUAACCCGAUUACAUGCAUCGGUACUGUUACCAGGUAUUAUUGACACAGGUCUUAGAGACGAGGCUAUUGGAUUUUACAAGAAGCUUACACUUUCUGAUUGAAUAAUAAUUCCCUGCGGAGGUCCUUAUGGUUGCUGGAGGUUAGAAAGAGAAAAAGAAAAGCAAAACACAUGGUUAAACGCUAUCGCAGAAGAAAAUAUCUUACGUAUUGAAAAAUCUUGCUCGAUUAACACCAUAACGAUCGAUUACUUUAGUUUGAAAUCUAACGUUUACGUGGAAACGUGAAAACGUGGUCUAAGUUACGUUUAUUUUGGGAUAUUUGAAAGGUAAAAGCGUACAAUUACCUAAUAACUAAAGAAAUGUAUGAUAAAAAAGUACGACAUACAGGGUGGUUGGUAACUGGUGGUACAGGCGGAAAGGGGGUGAUUCUACGUGAAAAAAGAAGUCGAAAAUAUAGAAGAAAAAUUUAAAAAUUUAAAAAUUUGAAAAUUUAAAAAUUUAAAAAUUUAAAAUUUGAAAAUUUAAAAAUUUAAAAAUUUAAAAAUUUGAAAAUUUAAAAAUUUAAAAAUUUAAAAUUUAAAAUUUGAAAAUUUAAAAAUUUGAAAAUUUAAAAAUUUAAAAAUUUAAAAAUUUAAAAAUUUAAAAAUUUAAAAAUUUGAAAAUUUAAAAAUUUAAAAAUUUAAAAUUUAAAAUUUGAAAAUUUAAAAAUUUGAAAAUUUAAAAAUUUAAAAAUUUAAAAAUUUAAAAUUUAAAAUUUGAAAAUUUAAAAAUUUAAAAAUUUAAAAAUUUCAAAAUUUUAAAAAUUAAAAAAAUAACGUCAAUCGAGACAACGAUCUACAGUGAGAUCCGUUAUAACGAGACGCGAUAAAGUGCACGCGUACCGAGCGAAAAUUCAAAGUCGAUUUUCUCGAAAACGAAGCCUCGAACGAAAAAUUUUUAUUCUAUAUUUUCGACUUCUUUUUUCGCGUAGAAUCACCCCCUUUCCGCUUGUACCACCAGUUACCAACCACCUGUAUAUUUAUAUCGUACGCUGAUAGUGGACACUCACACGACGCGAACGCAGCAGCCAUCAGUCGUCAUAGUGUUAAAGAGCAGAUAAAGUGGCGAAAGAAAUACACAAAUGGCGCAUGUAAGUGUUUACAAAUGGCUAGGUGUUUAAUUUAACCAGUUAGCAAGUUACGAUCUCUUUGAAAAAGUGUGUACCCAAUAAAACGUGUGGUGAAAAGCAAUGACGAUGACGAGUAUACUCGACGAACACAGAGUACGUGUGACUGUUACGAUAUCGAAUUAAGUUGUAACGAAACGAUUGUUUUAUCUUUUAAUUUCGUUGCUCUUCACUCUUCACUCUUAUCGUUUUACGUAAUAUUUCGGAAAAUGAAAGCGUCCCAACGUGUAAUGU